GACGAACGCUGGCGGCGUGCUUAACACAUGCAAGUCGAACGGAAAGGCCCUGCUUUUGUGGGGUGCUCGAGUGGCGAACGGGUGAGUAACACGUGAGUAACCUGCCCUUGACUUUGGGAUAACUUCAGGAAACUGGGGCUAAUACCGGAUAGGAGCUCCUGCUGCAUGGUGGGGGUUGGAAAGUUUCGGCGGUUGGGGAUGGACUCGCGGCUUAUCAGCUUGUUGGUGGGGUAGUGGCUUACCAAGGCUUUGACGGGUAGCCGGCCUGAGAGGGUGACCGGCAACAUUGGGACUGAGAUACGGCCCAGACGCCUACGGGAGGCAGCAGUGGGGAAUAUGGCACAAUGGGCGGAAGCCUGAUGCAGCAACGCCGCGUGCGGGAUGACGGCCUUCGGGUUGUAAACCGCUUGCGCCUGUGACGAAGCGUGAGUGACGGUAAUGGGUAAAGAAGCACCGGCUAACUACGUG
Molecule: ribosomal RNA, 468 nt
Filed under: uncultured bacterium
Lineage: Bacteria
Description: partial 16S ribosomal RNA
Rfam family: Bacterial small subunit ribosomal RNA
Source: RNAcentral